GACGAACGCUGGCGGCGUGCUUAACUCAUGCAAGUCGAACGGAAAGGCCCUGCUUUUGUGGGUUGCUCGAGUGGCGAACGGGUGAGUAACACGUUAGUAACCUGCCCUUGACUUUGGGAUAACUUCAGGAAACUGGGGCUAAUACCGGAUAGGAGCUCCUGCUGCAUGGUGGGGGUUGGAAAGUUUCGGCGGUUGGGGAUGGACUCGCGGCUUAUCAGCUUGUUGGUGGGGUAGUGGCUUACCAAGGCUUUGACGGGUAGCCGGCCUGAGAGGGUGACCGGCCACAUUGGGACGGAGAUACGGCCCAGACUCCUACGGGAGGCAGCAGUGGGGAAUAUUGCACAAUGGGAGGAAGCCUGAUGCAGCAACGCCGCGUGCGGGAUGACGGCCUUCGGGUUGUAAACCGCUUUCGCCUGUGACGAAGCGUGAGUGACGGUAAUGGGUAAAGAAGCACCGGCUAACUACGUG
RNAcentral lists this ribosomal RNA (468 nucleotides) under uncultured bacterium. RNAcentral's name for it is "partial 16S ribosomal RNA". It matches the Rfam family "Bacterial small subunit ribosomal RNA", at positions 28 to 507 of the family's 1533-position model. The record is from RNAcentral.